Molecule: ribosomal RNA, 439 nt
Filed under: uncultured bacterium
Lineage: Bacteria
Description: partial 16S ribosomal RNA
Rfam family: Bacterial small subunit ribosomal RNA
Source: RNAcentral
CUACGGGGUGCUGCAGUGAGGAAUAUUGCACAAUGGGGGGAACCCUGAUGCAGCAACGCCGCGUGGAGGAUGACGCAUUUCGGUGUGUAAACUCCUUUUAUAUGUCAAGAAAAUGACGGUAGCAUAUGAAUAAGCACCGGCUAACUCCGUGCCAGCAGCCGCGGUAAUACGGAGGGUGCAAGCGUUACUCGGAAUCACUGGGCGUAAAGGACGCGUAGGCGGGUUGGAAAGUCAGGUGUGAAAUCCUACAGCUUAACUGUAGAACUGCACUUGAAACUUCUAAUCUAGAGUAUGGGAGGGGGAGAUGGAAUUAGUGGUGUAGGGGUAAAAUCCGUAGAUAUCACUAGGAAUACCUAAAGCGAAGGCGAUCUCCUGGAACAUUACUGACGCUAAGGCGUGAAAGCGUGGGGAGCAAACAGGAUUAGAUACCCGCGUAGUC